UGCCAGCCGCCGCGGUAAUACGGAGGGUGCAAGCGUUAUCCGGAAUCAUUGGGUUUAAAGGGUCCGCAGGCGGACUAAUAAGUCAGUGGUGAAAUCCCAUCGCUUAACGAUGGAACUGCCAUUGAAACUGUUAGUCUUGAAUUCGGUCGAAGUGGGCGGAAUGUGUCAUGUAGCGGUGAAAUGCAUAGAUAUGACACAGAACACCGAUAGCGAAGGCAGCUCACUAGGCCUGAAUUGACGCUCAGGGACGAAAGCGUGGGGAGCGAACAGGAUUAGAUA
This 279-nucleotide ribosomal RNA is filed under the name uncultured bacterium. RNAcentral's name for it is "partial 16S ribosomal RNA". It matches the Rfam family "Bacterial small subunit ribosomal RNA", at positions 506 to 784 of the family's 1533-position model. The record is from RNAcentral.